This is a long non-coding RNA of Hypanus sabinus (Atlantic stingray), 842 nucleotides long. RefSeq lists it as uncharacterized. The transcript is spliced from 5 exons. Lineage: Eukaryota; Metazoa; Chordata; Chondrichthyes; Myliobatiformes; Dasyatidae. The record is from RefSeq and is a predicted model, not a curated record.
CAUUUUAAUCAGGAGCACACACAUCUAAGGAGCAUGAUAACAAGAUAAACUUCUAAUGCAGUAUUUUGUUUUUAUCGUAAGUAAGAUUUGAUUAAGCUCUCUAUUCCCUCCCAAACACUUUAGUCUGUCGUUAAUCCUACCAAAGGAACAUCUAAGCAUCUGUACUUCAUUAUUGCUUUUCUCUGUGAAAAUGGAACCUUCAGUACUGUUGCCAUGACCCAACACUGAUGAACGGAGCAACCUCAAGUUGAUAAAUUGGAAGACAGCAGCAUCCAGAGGAAACCAGUGAGGUCACAGUGAGAACAUAGAAACUCCACACCAGCAGCACCUGCAAACAGGUUCUUUCCAGGCUUCUGUGUUUCGUGGCUGCCUGUAAGGAGAUGAAUCUCAAGGUUGUAUGAUGUAUACAUACUUUGAUAAUGAAUGCACUUUGAACUUUGAACACGAUGCACACCCUGUUUUGCAGAUAUUUGCCUAGCCUCCUUUUGAACGUACCCGUACUGCUGCCCCUGACGCUUUGUGAACAACUGGCUAUGUCCAUAAAUUGGACCACCUUCUGGGGCAGGAAGGACCUCUACAAAAGGGAUGAGUUGCACAUGAAUCUGAGGGGGACAAAUAUUCUUGUGAGCAGAGGUACUGGAUGUGGUGAACUACAUAUACCUGUCUGGACAAGCCCCCCCUGCUGACUGCUCCUGUGGCUCCUCCCACAAGCUGUGGCUCCUCCCACGGACCCCGGUAUAAAGGCGAUUGGAGACACAGCCCCAGCCUCAGUCUCCAGGAUGUAGUGUGGUGGUCAAUUGCUGCUUGUUCUUUCUUCCAGCCAAUAAAAGCCUAUAUCUUGC